UGUCGGCGACGGUAACCUGUCGUCGACACCCCCACAUCCAUCGGAACCUGACACGAACAACCAAACGGUCGGAGUAACAUAGAUCUUUACAGAUCUGAAAGUAGAAGAGGAGAAGAUGACGAGUUAAUAAAAAAAACAGUUUACCGGAGAAUUUCUUGGAUUCGCGUCUGCUGUCCGGAACCUCCGCCGCCGUUGACGACUGCAUCGGCUCCACCGGGUUCUCCCCCUCUCCUCUCGAACCGUCUCUCUCUCUCCUCUGAUUCUUGGCCAACCGUCGCUCACCACCACCCGAUGAUGGUGGUGGUGGUUCGUUUUGUCCAUCAGGGGGGGGUCUCGCCUGACCGGAAAGAAACGCCGGCUUACCGGCUCCUUGUGCUGAUCUGAACAGGGGGGGUGCUUGUGUGCGUCGGCCGACCGGAGAGGUGUCGGCCGGAGGUCCGAUCUCCGGUGCUUUAGAGGAAGAGAGCAGAGAGUUGAAGAGGGGAACUGUUGGUAGGUGUGGUUGAUUGUAUUUGAGAAGAUGAAGUUAUAGUUGAGAUGAACAACAGAAGGUAG
This 555-nucleotide long non-coding RNA is filed under the name Helianthus annuus (common sunflower). RNAcentral's name for it is "sRNA HanXRQr2_Chr12g0542681". The record is from RNAcentral. Lineage: Eukaryota; Viridiplantae; Streptophyta; Magnoliopsida; Asterales; Asteraceae.